This 490-nucleotide ribosomal RNA is filed under the name uncultured bacterium. RNAcentral describes it as "partial 16S ribosomal RNA". It matches the Rfam family "Bacterial small subunit ribosomal RNA", at positions 29 to 523 of the family's 1533-position model. The record is from RNAcentral.
AAUGAACGUUGGCGGCAUGGAUUAGGCAUGCAAGUCGAGCGAGAAGGGUUUUGAAGCUUGCUUUAGAACCCGGACAGCGGCGAAAGGGAGAGUAACGCGUAGUUAUGUGCCCUAGGGUCCGGAAUAGCCACGGGAAACUGUGGGUAAUGCCGGAUAAUAUCCCCGGAUCAAAGGUGUGAUUCAGCCCUAGGAGCAGACUGCGUCCUACUAGCUAGUUGGUGGAGUAAUGGCCCACCAAGGCAACGAUGGGUAGCGGGUGUGAGAGCAUGACCCGGCUCACGUGGACUGAGACACUGCCCAGACACCUACGGGUGGCUGCAGUCGAGAAUCUUCGGCAAUGGGCGAAAGCCUGACCGAGCGAUGCCGCGUGCUGGAUGAAGGCCCUCGGGUUGUAAACCGCUGUCGUAGGGGAGGAAGAUUUCGUGAAGAGCGAAAUUUGACCUAUCCUAGGAGGAAGUACGGGCUAAGUUCGUGCCAGCAGCCGCAGUAA